ACCUGGCUGGCUCAGUUGGAAGAGCAUGUGACUCUUGAUCUUGGGGUUGUAAGUUCAAGCCCCAUGUUGGGUA
This 73-nucleotide transfer RNA is filed under the name Canis lupus familiaris (dog). It matches the Rfam family "tRNA". Rfam says of the family: Transfer RNA (tRNA) molecules are approximately 80 nucleotides in length. RNAcentral also lists the same sequence under 1 other name. Lineage: Eukaryota; Metazoa; Chordata; Mammalia; Carnivora; Canidae. The record is from Rfam by way of RNAcentral.